CUUCACCGACCCCAGCAGCAGGGGGCGUUCGGGGUCGCGGUCCUGGCCGUAGGUGGCCAGCAGCGCCUGGGCCUC
Non-coding RNA from Streptomyces sp. NBRC 110611, 75 nucleotides. The record is from Rfam. NCBI's taxonomy places the organism in Bacteria, Bacillati, Actinomycetota, Actinomycetes, Kitasatosporales, Streptomycetaceae.